This 936-nucleotide long non-coding RNA is filed under the name Homo sapiens (human). Its description in RNAcentral is "long non-coding RNA NONHSAT166247.1". Lineage: Eukaryota; Metazoa; Chordata; Mammalia; Primates; Hominidae. The record is from RNAcentral.
GGGUGGAGACUGGGACAUGGGAAAAUCAUCUAGGGAAGGAUACCUUUACUGGAUCAGCAGCCUUCAGUUGGAGGAACACAGCCAGCUCCUGGUGACCCCACAGGGAGAGAGCGGGAGCACUAAGGAUUCCAAACUCAGUCCUCCUGAUCUUCAUCAGUAUUCGUCAUUGGCCAAACAAAUAACUGAAAUUCAGAGGGCAAGAGAGCUCAUUGUUAUCUAAACAGGUCAGCAUGGCAGACAGCGAGGCGAAGAGGGAAGGAAGGUGGAUUUGGAAGAACAAACGGGAGUGACCUAGUGCAGCCCUGAUAAACCCGAGGGACUGUGACCCCCACUUCUAGGAGGGGCUAUCCUCUUUCUGCUAACCUUCAGCCUGCUGUGCAUUCCUGUUAGAAGUCAUAGCUACUGUCAUUUGUGCUGGUGGAACUAGGAAAGCAGUGUUCCUCUCAAGAUAUUAUGGGGUCCCAGGGAGAUGCAGUGUCCAGGGAAGCAGAGGCAGCAGCACAGCUGCAGGAAGAAGUCAGGGUGGAAUCCACACAGAGCGCAUUCCCAGGCUGGGAGCUACCAGAGUAUUUGACCUUGGGCACAGCUGGGGUGGCCCCGAUGGCGCUGCUGUCUGCUGAUGGUCUCCACAGCUUCCCCAGCGAGGCCUUCCUGGAAGGAGUGCUGAGCAGCAAAGCUCUGUGGUCACCACUCAGGACAAAGGGGAACCAGCUGAACAGAGCCUUUCAUGUGACAACAAAAAACGACCUGGCUCAAACAUCACGACAGGCAUCUGUGGAGCCUGGGAAAUGACCUUUCUCAUGGGGAGAACACAGAACACACAAAGCUUUCUCUUAAAAGUCUACAAAAUUAUAAUCUGAUAACAACAGAACGUUUUGGUAUUUUGAGUAAUAGGUGUCACAUCGGAAUUGAUAUUUGCCAAAUUUGGCAUGAUAA